GAUGAGAAGAAGCAGAGCAGGGCAUAGCGGCCAGAUAAGUUUCUCCAGAGUCAAGAGCAUCAUAAGCCGGGAAUCAAGCAAGUGCAAAAUUGUGGAAGUAUGGUCGAAGUCUACACUGCGGCUUGUUUGACAGGAUGGGACGAAGAACAGGAUAGGUUGGUCUACCUCGCAAAUUAAGCCAAUGCAUUCGUCGCAAGCAGCCUCGUGGACAUGUGGAAGCAUCAGAAGUGUUCAGGAGGACAAAGAAACACGACGUUGGUUGCCUGGAACACGAUCAUCAUGGGACAUGCACGUCUUCUAUCAGAUGCAACGAGAAGCUGGCCUGCCUCCAAACGCUGAGACUUUGCAUGGAGCAGCAAAACGUCGUUUCCUGGGAACAACCUUUGCUCUUGACUGCUACGAGCAAGCCGCAGCCAAACGCUCAGACUUUCAUGGUGGCGCUCAAGGCACUUAGCAGAGAAGAGGCUCCACUCGCAGAUCUGGGAGAGAAAUCUGGAGGGAAUCCACUACUCAGCGUGGUCGCUCAAUUAGAGAAAAGCUUUUCUUGGGAGGUCGGUAAACUUUGCAAGGAAAGAGUGUCAUGCAAGGUUGAUGGAGCCGUCAAUCAAAGAUGGUACCUGAAAAGACGCGAAAGGAUCUUAGCUGGCA
RNAcentral lists this long non-coding RNA (648 nucleotides) under Selaginella moellendorffii. RNAcentral's name for it is "long non-coding RNA (SMOE_LNC002145)". The record is from RNAcentral. Lineage: Eukaryota; Viridiplantae; Streptophyta; Lycopodiopsida; Selaginellales; Selaginellaceae.